AUUCACUAUGCUCCCUAAAUUCAUUUAUAUGGUAUUAUUGGGAGCUGAGAAUGGUUUUGUCUGAAAGAAUAGCUUAGCCAGAGUAGCUUAGAUUCUAGACCAGAUCUAAAAGUAAUCUUACUUUUACAGAUAAUGAGUUCUUUUCAUUGUUCAUUUGCUUGUUUUCAGUGUAGCUCUCUGUAUCCGACAAAAUGGCGCAUAAUCAUCUGUGAAAAUUGGAGGUGAUGAUACAUCUAACAGACAAAAUAAAUUACUGUGACAAGAAAAAGCCCAGGUUUACUGAAGAAUCAAGCAAACUCUUAUCCAAUAACACUCAGAGUGUGCUCCUCUUACUUAUAAAAAAAAUAGUGAACUGUAAAACAGCCUCAGGCAUGUCCUUCAGGAGGAUUCCAGAAUAAGGCAUUGUUAUCAUAGGAGAUGACAGUUCCAUGCAUGUUAUUGCCCCUGAAGACUUUCCAGUGGGACAAGAUGUGGAGAUGAAGACAGUGAUACUGAUGGUCCUGACCCUGUGUAGGCCUUGGCACUCUCUUUAGGUCUGCAUGCUUCUCAAAUUGAGCUGUAACACUCACUGCUGCGGUCCAAGCCUUCAUUCUUUGAAGCCCGUGGAACCACAAACUCUUCAAUUGAUAAAAACCUUCGAUCGGAAGAGACUUCUCAUCUCAUUUCUGGGGGCCUGUCCGGGAUUUCUCUGAAGUGAAUAGAAUCCAUGAAACUGCAAGUGGUUCUACAAAUGGAGCCCCAAAUGACCACCACUAGCACCUACUAUCGAGGACCCCUAGACUGACCUACCAACCUGUUCUAACACCACGACACUGAAGAAGACUCCCCUCCUGAGGAACCCUCAACUGCAGAUCCCCUUCUGUGCCCCAGUUCAGCAGGAAGUAGCUAGAAUGAUCAUUGCCCAACUUCUCAACAGCACUUGGGCUUUCCUGUUGAGAGGGGGUACUGAGGCACUAAGUGGCUAAGUUAGCUAGACUUCCUGGGUCAACAGGGACUUCCCUAAGGGGACAUUCCUCUAAGCCAAAAUGAGUCAUAGCUGCAAGCUAAGGGAUUGAAACUUCAACCAAUCAAAGGGGACUUUCUCCUAAGCAAAAAUGAGUCACUGCUGCAAACUAAGUGAUUGAAACUUCACCCAAUCAUAUAGGGAGUUUAAGCUUUAGCUGCAGCCUGAUGUUUUUAACCAAUCAGGCCUGCCAACCCACAAGCAGAUAGAAAAUAAGCUAAUCCUAUGGGACAGAAAAAGGAAAAGGGGAGGAGUCAUAAGAGGAUAUAAGCAUAAGACACCCAAGCCAGAAACGGAAACCCUUCCGGGUCUCCUUCCACCACGUGGAAGCUUUACUUUUGCUUUUACUUUACUUUCACUUUAAUAAACCUUGGCGCUGCACACUC
This 1389-nucleotide long non-coding RNA is filed under the name Homo sapiens (human). RNAcentral describes it as "HSALNT0336486". The record is from RNAcentral. Lineage: Eukaryota; Metazoa; Chordata; Mammalia; Primates; Hominidae.